This is a long non-coding RNA of Cyprinus carpio carpio, 1990 nucleotides long. NCBI's taxonomy places the organism in Eukaryota, Metazoa, Chordata, Actinopteri, Cypriniformes, Cyprinidae. The record is from Ensembl.
CGAUGACUCAUCGUGCAGAUGAACUACCUGAAACGUCAGUGUCGCUGGACUCCAUCUGCACUGCUUGACUGCUGGGGUUCUGUUAGGCAUGCAGAGAGGGGAAUCCCGCCUAAGACGGAGUGUGCAUGAGCGUUUCUGCGGCUGCGCGGAUGUUCCCGAACAGCCGAACACUGAUGAGGAUGACUCAUCCCUAGAAACCCCACUGGAUGGGUGCGGAGGUUGCACUUUGCAGUCCAAACCUUCUGCAAGUUCUGCUUAGUAAGACUUCACUGGCCUUCUUCUAAUGAGCUGCACUGGAACCAGCCCCAGCAAACCCAACGGUCCACACUAUCAGGAAGUAAUCACCACUCUAAUCAGCCAUAAAGAUGAUGUCUCAGCAUAGACAACAGGUGCAAUGUAGCUGAUCGGUAUUCCGGUGGGACGAGACUUCCUUCCCAGAGAGAAUGCAUGAUCACAGUAUGCUGUGGAUUUCCGAGGGACACACCCCAUAGAGAGCUACUAUUUCAUUAUGAUCUCAGCGUGGUCAGACUGGUAUAGACUAAACUACUACAUCAUACUUGGAUGUUCUCUUCAUGUUUUACAACUUAGGAGUUCAACAAAAUAAUGUAAACCAUCCCAAUUCAAGAAAAUUGUCUUUGUUGCUCUGCUAGGCGUUUCAUGCUGCGCCCUGGCACUUGUUUCCCCAUAAUCUGUAGUCAAGGACAAAAUGAGAAAGCCAUCUCUGUGUCCAGAGGCCAGUGCCAUACAGGAAACACAUCAGCGGCGUGCCACAGUGGGUUCCUGGCACAGUGAUGCCUGUCAUCCACAGCAGUGCUUGAAUGAGACUCACUGGAAGACUGUGACAUACCGUAUGAGCGUUUUGUAGACUGGGUUGUGCUAAAUUCAGAAUUUAACAAUUGGUUUUCAGUUCAUGAGUGUGAAUUUAAAUUGAAUUGGCCACACCUAACAGAAAGUUGAUUUUAAAUGUGAACUGGAAUGACAGCACAAAGAAAAUACAAAGAAAUUCAACACAGUUCAUUGUUCUGGGAAAUUGAGAUCAUCCACAGCUUGUGUUUUCAAACCUUCUCUUUUGUGUACAGACCAUAACCUUAAUGUUUGCCAAAGCGGGUACAUUUUAUUAACUUUGUCCAGUCUUCAGAGACUAUUUAAUGUGCAACCUAAUUAUUGUAAAACAAUGACAUCCUUAUAAACAGAUAUGGGUGCCGGUCUAUCAGGCAACCUAGAUAAAUAUUUAGGAGAGCUUUGUUUCUUGGCUUGCAGCCAUAUCUUGAUGACAUUGUAGCUCUGUCCUCCAAACAGUAUGAUGCAAUGAAAGACAAUCUUCCACACAGCAGUGAGCGGCCCUGCUUUACUUCGGUACCUACAUUAUUCUCAGAGGGUACUAUGCAAGUGAGCAUCAGAAGAAUGCAAUGAAAUCCAAGCAUAUUCACCUGGUGGAACAUGCAGGCUCUGCAGGGAGUAUAGCGUGUGCUGAUGCUGCCAAGGCUGGCCACAGUAAAGACUGGCAUCCAUUUACAUCAUGCUUGAGUGAACGGAUACUCCAAUUACAGGAAAUGCAUACACUGGCCUCCCGGGCUGGUGCUUUCAGUCUGCCUGUCUUACAUAACCACAAAUUGCUGGACAUUUAUGAACUGGAGGCUCCAUUGUUUCAGCUCUAUGUUCAUAUUUUAGGGUUGUAAACAGAAACCGAUUGGGGUGAUAUUUCGUAACAUCUUAAGACACUGGUAUUUCCUCAUUAAGGGGAACUACCUGAAAUGUGUAUUUUUUUGUUGCACUGUUGCUGCUGUUAACAGGACAAGUCUAAAAACUAAAACUGUGAACUAUAUUUUACUUUAAUUUUAGAUAACUAUAUCUAACAGCUAUGUUUUUCGUUGGCAUGACAUUAGCACUGCAAAAAAAUUGUCGACUAACUGCUUUUUGCAACAACUUGUAAUAUUAAAACAUUUCUUUACUGUUUUAUUAUGCUUUUUUUGCACAGUUUUACUGCCAA